This is a long non-coding RNA of Helicoverpa armigera (cotton bollworm), 4930 nucleotides long. RefSeq lists it as uncharacterized. NCBI's taxonomy places the organism in Eukaryota, Metazoa, Arthropoda, Insecta, Lepidoptera, Noctuidae. The transcript has 2 exons. The record is from RefSeq and is a predicted model, not a curated record.
UUUUCCAAAGUUCAAUGAAGCAAACUCAUAACAUGAUGCACAAAAAUACAACAAAUAAAGUUUCGUUGGCUUUGAGUGCAGUGGAACGCGCUCUAGUUCGUAAACAUUUUGCUUAUGUCAAAAGUCAAAACAAAUAAUCAUAAACUGUUUACUUUUACCGCGAUUUUGUUGCUCAAAAAUAGCCGAAAUACUAUUUAAACCCGUGAGCAUUAUAUUUUGGACAAUAUAGACAUAGUGUGCGUGAAGCAGCAUCGGGUUCUCAGUGAUAAUAACCUCAAAAUAUUUUGUGUUCUUGUUUAUCUAAAAUUGUGAAUUAAGUGUUGAUUUUGUGAGUCUUAUAAGUUUCUAACAUUUAUCUAGUGAUGGUAGUGAUUGUGUGAUACGUUGGCGGCGGUUGCAGUGUGCUGAAGGCGGUCUGCAAUAUGAGCUGAUACCCACAAAUAAGGGCAAAUAUUUACUAAUGUUGGACAAGUACACUUACUCACAGGAUCACUUCAGUACAAGUUACUACUGUUCCAGAAGGAAUAUAGGUUGUAGAGCUACCGUCAAAUUGGACAAGUCUGGCAAUAUUAAAGCAGCCAAUACUGCACAUACACAUGAUCCACCGACAUACAUGCGAACUGCUACUGGAGAGUACAUUAAAGUUAGACAUUAAUUAGUUGUACACACGUAUUUCUUAUUGUAGGUAUGUUUGAUAGGGAAUAAAUAUUAUGGCCACCAAUAAUGCUUUGAUACUCUUAGUUUUGUAACCAAAAAUAUCUACUAAACACCAGAAAAAUAAAGUCUAAAAAUAAAAAAGUACCAGCUAUUUUAGUCACGGCUCCAUUUUAAAUUGUAUUCGACCACCAAAUUUUGUAAAUGAUCACCAAAUCUUGACGACCAAAUUAACGUAUUAUUUUUGCCUAAAUAUGUCACUGUGAUUGCCAUAAAAUGUAGGCUUAUUAUCAAAUAAAGUAUUAUGAUGCCAUUUUAAGUUAUGUCUAUAUUAAGUUAUGUGUAUAUAGACUCCACGUAGUCUGGUCUGCCCUACCUCUAGAGUGCAAUUCAAAAUCGCGUAGGCGCGGAGGGGCGAGGCAGAUGGUUUUCACGCUCACCACCGCAACUUCGGCUUGCUGGCCGGCUCGGCCGGCCAGCCUCAGCCGCGUCGGCGAGCGUUAAAACUACCUGCGCCUCAGCUUGCAUGAGACCGCCGGAGCCCCGCAGCCCCGGAGCCGUGACAGAAGCCAUGCUUGCUGCAUGCUGCAUGUUUGCUUCCAUGCUGCAUGUCUACUAACAUAUAAAGUUUGGGAUAACAAUGAUUUAUUUGGACUCAUUUUGCUUAAAUAGGAUAUCAGAAUUUAAAAACUUUGGUUAUAAUUUUACUUUAAAAUGUUGGUUUAGUUUUUUUGAUCAUUUACUAUUUUUGGCUUACUCAUGAUUUACUUGGAGUAAUUUUACUUAAAUAGGAUAGCAAAGUGUUAAAACUUUGGUAAUAAUUUUACUUUAAAAUGUUGGUUUAAUUUUGGUGAUCAUUUACUAUUUUUGUCUGCUAUUUGAUAUCUGGUGGUAAGUUAAACAUAAGCCUAUUUGAUAUAGCAAAAUGAGCUUAAAAUACAGGCUAAAAGCCUGCCUAUACAACCUUUAAUAAUCCUCAUCUCACAUUCCAGGUCUUAGAUAUGAGCUGAUACCCACAAAAAGGGGCAAAUAUUUACUGAUGCUGGAAAAUUACACUUACUCACAGAAUCACUCCAGUAACAGUUACUACUGUUCCAAAAGGAAUAUAGGUUGUAGAGCUACCGUCAAAUUGGACAAGUCGGGCAAUAUUAUAGCAGCAAAUACUGCGCAUACACAUGAUCCACCGACAUACAAGCGAAAUGCUAAUGGAGAGUACAUUAAAGUUAUAUAAUAAUUAGUAUGGAGGAUUUAGUUGUACAACUACAUACGUAUUUCUUAUUGUAGGUAUAUUUGAUAUUAUAACAAAAUGAGCUUAAGAUAUAGGCUAAAAGCCAGCCCAUACAACCUUGAAUAAUCCGAACCUCACAUUCCAGGUCUUGGAUAUGAGCUGAUACCCACAAAAAGGGGCAAAUUUUUACUGAUGCUGAACAAGUAUACUUACUCACAGGAUCACAAAAAACGUACUUUUUACUGUUCUAAAAAGAAUGUGGGGUGUAGAGCUAACGUCAAAUUGGACAAGAUGGGAAAUAUAAAAGAAGCCAAUACCAUCCAUAUACAUGAUCCGCCGAACUAUGUACGCUCUGCUAGUGGAGACUAUAUUAAAGUUUAAGGGGCUCAAGUAGUGGGCAGUGUGCUUGAUUUCAUUUCGGCAAAUGCAUUUUACCAAUGUUACUCGUGCGUGUUUGCCACUGAACGCUAGAUGAUCUUCAUUAAAUGUGUAUGAACAGUAGAUGAAUUAAUUAUCUGAAAGGGCCCAUUAUAAAAAAGGAACCCAGUAAAAUAAAUAUUCAAGUAUCAACGCAAUUUGUAUCAAAUUGGUUGAGCCGUUAAGUAGGAUUUGGGUGUGAACACAAAUUCGUAUUUUGAAUUGUGUGUAUGUGUCCUGGUGAGGGUAGGCAGGAUACUUAAUCAUUAUAUUUCGUAAGCAAUGAACUAGUUUAUUUAUGAUAGAACUAAAGAUACUACGAUCUUGGCUGAUUUGUCUUUGAACUAUGUAUAGAUAUACGUAUCUCUUUGGGCAGGUUUUCUGGCAUCUAACAAUGGCUAAACAUUGAAAUUGUGGUAAAUAGUAAUGUAAGUUUAUAAAUAGUGUAUCUUAUAAAUAAUUGGUAUAUCUUGACUUGAAAUAAAUAUACCUACGAACUUAACAUACAACUGUAUUUUUUUCUUUAUGUCAUCUAUUCCUAUUAAGAUUGGUUUUCGAUGAUAGGUAAGUGAUACAUUUUUUUUGUUUCAGAAAAUAUGAAGUUCAUAGAAACAUUGAAAGGAACGAGAUUGUUAAUGAUAAAUGGAUAUACUUAUUCUCUCAAAAAUCGUGCUAAACGUUGUUACUAUUGCUCUAAGGAGGCUCGGAACUGUAAGAGCCGAGUUCGUAUAUGUAAGAACGGAUAUAUACUUUCCAUGGAUUUGGAACAUAAUCAUCCCCCGCCUGUUUAUAAGGAGGUUGACGGAAGGUACUUGAAAGUCUCAAAGUAGGUUUGGAGUUUGACACCGAUAAUAUGAAGAAUACUUAUAUAAAAAAGUCGUAAUCAUCAGAAUCCUUGUCACACACACCUCAUCGAUCCCCUCGAAAUACAUACGAGAGUAGCAAUUGGUAGUAACUAAUGGCAACUGCUAGCAAUUUGGUAGCAACUCUCUAUGAGUAUUUCGAUGGGAUCGAUUAGGAGUGACAGCGAUAAUGACGAUAUCAAACGAAAGACUUGUCUAUGGCUAUGAAGUCGUACAUAACCCGGGUGUGGUGGGUGUGUCAUACACGACAGGAUUGACGUUUUUCAUGCAAUCUGAGUGAAUUCGCAAUAGUAUUAUGAAAUUUGGUAGUAUUUAAAUUACGUUAUUUUUAAGUUACUGCUAUUGUAUUGGGUAUAUCCCGUAUUGAUACCACGUAAAUAAAUCAAUGAGGUGUUAAAUCAAGGAGAUUUUUUGUAACAUCGUCUAUUUUGAUGAAGUACUGACAAAGGUUUUAAUCAAAAAUAUUUUCUUUGCUUUUGGAUACAUCCUAUUCGUCGACAAUUUAAACCUUUCUUACCGAAUUGCUAAAUGUUUAGCUCCUUUCCUCUCUCUCUCUUUAAACACGGAUUAAAGUUGCACCAAGGAAUAAUAAUAAUAGCGUCCACGGCCGAUUUCGGCCACGGCGGCUAUUCUCAUUUAAGGAGUUUUCAGUUGCGUGACUUUUGCAGUUUUGUUGCUAGUAAGUACAUCCGUGAUACGAUUUUAGUUGAAAUUACUUAAAUAUAAAGAAUCUCACAUAUAUUGUUUUGCAUUUCAGCGAGGGUGGCAUUUAUUAAAACUGUCAAAGGAAGCACAUUAUUAAUGGUCAAUGGAUUUACAUAUUGGCAACAUAAUACGAGUAGAACUAUAUAUUAUUGCUCUAGUAAAACUGGAAAUGGUUGUAAGAGUAGAGUCAAAGUUACUAAAGAAGGAGUCAUUGUUACUUUAAGAGAGGAACAUAAUCAUUCACCACCUGUUUACAAGCAAAGAGGUGGUCUGUACUUCAAGGUUUAAGCUCUACAUUUUGUGAAAAAUAAAUACUUUUCUAGUCAUACUGGCUUUUUACUAUUCCUCGAUUAAUCGUAUAGUCCGUUCUUGUAUGCAACUGGAUCGUGACAUCUUAUUACCCUAGCAUAAAUUAUCGUCCGUACGAAUCACGUCGUCGUAAUCGUCGUUACGGUUAUUACGACAGCUAAUACUUUUGUAACCCGCGAAAACCAGUACCUUUUUAACAUUAUUUGACAUUCCAGAUGACGUGAAAAUCAUAAAAACUGAAAAAGGGAGCAUGCUGUUAAUGGUCAAUGGGUUCACAUUUUGGCAGAGUAGUAAGUACAAAACGAAUUAUUAUUGUUCUCGAUCGUAUUACGGAUGUAAGAGUAAAGCAAAAUUAAACAACGAAGGAUUUAUGAUUGGUUUAAAGGAGGAUCACAAUCAUCCACCACCUACUUAUGUAGUAGGUGAUAGUGGUUUAUACUAUAAGGUUUCCAGAUAAUUGAAUAAAUAAUAUUGAUUUCAAAUAAUUAGUAAUAAUUUUAAUGGAUUCAAAAUAUGUAAUUUAAUAAAUUAAUAAUUUCUACUAAGUAUACUUUGUUUAAUAUCAACACUUGUCUCUCAAAACAAUGUAAUCUGGGAGCACUUCUGUGCAUCCCCUUAGUUUUAGGUAGGCAACAAUGAAAUUACAAUAAAAAAUUGCUAUCGAAUAUAUUCCAGCUAGAUGUUAAGUAGUAAUAAAUGAGCUAUUGUUAGUUUAUAACUUUUUAAUUUAAUAAACAAUCAUUUUGUAAUCGUA